ACUGGUGUUGAACUUGCAAUUUUUUUCCAUCACUGAUUGCUUCAAUGUGAAAUUAUGAAUAAUAUUUAAAUCAAACAGAAGAAAUUGAUUAAAGAAUAUAACAAAACAAUGAAGCAAAAGUGCAAAACAAGACCCAAAUUUUGUGAUUGUCAGCUUAUCAUCAUCAAACAAAAGCUAAACUAAUAGCAAAAUAGAACACAAAUGGCGACAAGGAAUGAAAAUCCAAUAAAUUUGUACAGUUGGUCAUUGCUUCGUCUACGUCCAUGAAUCCCAAUUCGUCACUUCGUGUGCGUGAUAUUCUGCCGCCAGCCGUGACCGUGAAUGAGUUUAGGAGCUACUGAGAAUUCAAGCCUUUGAUGAUGAUUGAUAACGAUUUGAUGAUAAAGAUGACGAUUUGAUGAUGAUGAUUUAAAU
This 414-nucleotide long non-coding RNA is filed under the name Citrus sinensis (sweet orange). RNAcentral describes it as "long non-coding RNA (CSIN_LNC004405)". Lineage: Eukaryota; Viridiplantae; Streptophyta; Magnoliopsida; Sapindales; Rutaceae. The record is from RNAcentral.